ACAGCACUUUAUUGAAAACAGCCAAUUUUCUAGAAAUUCCCCCCAGCUGAAAAUGAGAAGGACAAAGCAAACUGUAAUCCAGUAGCACAGUGUAUUACUGCAGCUGCGUAUUCAGGAUGUUUAAUUUUAAAAAGAUCAGGUCCCCUUAGCAGGGAUGAAAGUGUGUUUCCACAUCCAGAUUUACCUUGGCGUUGGGAAAAAACUGGAGCUUAAUAACGACGAACACUAAUAAAAGUACGGAAAUAUUUACAGCAUUUCCAUAGGUUGAGGAUUCGGUUGCGAGUUUGGACGGAUUUUGUAGGCUUCAUGUAACGCUGCUUACAUCUUUAAAUUUUGUGGAUGCAUUUGCCACAGCCAUUUUUAGGCAUGUAUUCACUCAUACGGAGAUCGGUCAGGUUUUUUUGAUUGGGCUGAUGUCCUGCCUCUGGACUGUGACGUUUGAUGGCGAGCCUUCCCACUCGGACCCCUUUGAAGGAGUGAUUUUUGCCUGAAUUAACUGGACAGACCCUGUUGCACUCUCCAGUGUGGUAGGCCCAGCUUGUGUCACCACAACAGCUCUUCAGCAGCUCCACACACACACACAUACACAUUCAUUCACUCACAAUCAAAAGAAUAUUAUUUUUUUGAGACUCUGAACUGGACUUGAACUUGAUUUAGCAUAAAACCUUAUUUUCCUGAAUUGCAUAUUUUAUUUUAUUUUUAUUAUUAUUAUUUGCUGAUAAUUUGCACCAGAAGUUUUCUUUGAGAGGAAAAUUUUAAAUUUUGAAAAGAGGUUGUUUUAUACCAAUAUUGAAAUAUUGCUGUUGUUAAAUUUGUAAAUUAACUUUUUGGGUCAAUAACUACUCAUUCAUUUGUCUGUUUAUUUAUCUCUCUUUUCCUCUUUCUACAAUUUCCUAUUAGAUAUUAAAAAGGGUUCUUGUUAAA
This is a non-coding RNA of Paramormyrops kingsleyae, 924 nucleotides long. NCBI's taxonomy places the organism in Eukaryota, Metazoa, Chordata, Actinopteri, Osteoglossiformes, Mormyridae. The record is from RefSeq and is a predicted model, not a curated record.